RNAcentral lists this small RNA (543 nucleotides) under Pongo abelii (Sumatran orangutan). RNAcentral describes it as "retained intron". The record is from RNAcentral. Lineage: Eukaryota; Metazoa; Chordata; Mammalia; Primates; Hominidae.
AAUUCGACACCAAAGUUUGGAACAUAAAAAGAAGGUUCUUAAAAAUUACAAUCCAGAUCACGAUGAGGACUUGGUGCAGGAAACUUCAUCUGAAGAUGUCCCAGGCGUUCACAUGGUGGACAAAGACACACAGACAGACAGUACGUAUUCUGGAAUCACCCCUAUGCUGAGGAAAAAUUCUAGUGUUGACAAAGGUGACACUUUCUUGCCUCAUUUUUUCUGGAGAGCCACUCUGGUUUGAACUUCCUGCCAGAAAUGUGGUUCAAGCACUUUUGUCUUGACCAGUGAAGAACCUGGUCAAGAAAUGUGACCGUUGACUCUGGUGCCUGGAAGGAACAGUGUCAUUUGGAUAGAAGAGGGUGUUGUGCAUCAGGGUUGGGAGGUAUGGAGGAAUGAGUCAAUGUGGAGUGAUUGUGAAUGUCUCUGCGAGUUUGUGUGCUUUUCCCCAGAAAAUAUGUUCCCAUAUGCGAAGCACAACACAAAGAUUGAUAUUCUAGAAACAAAAUUUGAUCACCACUGCAUUUUUCCAAAAAAAACAACCCA